Molecule: long non-coding RNA, 2884 nt
Organism: Esox lucius (northern pike)
Lineage: Eukaryota; Metazoa; Chordata; Actinopteri; Esociformes; Esocidae
Exons: 3
Source: RefSeq, a predicted model, not a curated record
UUCCCAUUAAAUACAAUACAACACGGAACAUCAAGCAAAGGGUAAGUAUUUUUUACACAUAGAUAUUAGAUAGACAUAGAUAUUUCAUUUUGUUAUCCCAUGUAAACAGUGUAAAUCUGGCAUUGCAUACCCAGAAAGCCAGCUCUACUUUUAGACCUAUUUCCUUUUAAAGUAACCUGUUAUUGUUUGUUUACCCUUGAUCAUUCUAUACAGCAUUUCCAUAUUUUAUUCAUAAUUUCACCUAAAUGAAAUCAAGCAUUCUAAACCAUUAACUGUGAAUUAGAACAAUACUAAUAGGUUCAGAAAUGGUUAAAUAUCUUUGUACAAACUAACAAUUCACCCUUUGUAUUUAAAUGAAGAAAAAUUACUUCAAGAAAACUUUCAGAAACUUCAUCAAGGACAUAUCUUCAACAAUGAUUACCAAUUUAAACAGCUUAAAACAAGGACUUUAGCCACUUGCAAAGGCAAUUACACAUGUACAGAAAUGUUUUAGCCUCAAUCUACUAAUAGUGCAAUAAACAAUGUAUCAACAGACCACACAUUUCGUUUGCCCAUACAAACUACUACGCAGCCAGCAAUCACAUUUACAGUCUUCAAAGUCCAGUAAAGAGAUGUGAGCUUACCGGUAGCCCCUUUGAUCUUUUUCCAUGAGUUUUAAUUCUGUGAUUCUUCAGCGAUUUCUCUUUUCUUUCACUGUUCUUAGCUGCAUUGCAAACCUGAACAACCUUGCUCUGCUUGUAUUGUCUGAAGGUUUCUGACGUGCACUGCUAAUUAGUUUAAUUUCGCUCACCUGCUGAGGUGCACUGCGGAGCCGCGCUCUGUCACAUGCACACGCACUCAGACACACCUCCCAGCAGAUCGCCGCAACAAAGGGGGUAAAGUCAUGUUGAAACUGCAUUGAUUAUUUUGUGCUUCCAUAAGUCUGAAGCAGGCGAUCCUGUGGCCUAGAUAGGUGGGGUCCAUUCUGUUUUUAACUUGGCUAGCUUGUGUAAGAAGGAUAUUAUUAGUUCUACAAAGAGAGAUGUUUUCAUUUACAGUUUUCAUCCCACCUGAGAAAGGGAGACGAAGGUUCAGACGCCCAGCAUUAGCUCAUUUGUGUUUUCAGGUUCAGCUUUUACAGUUCAUUUCAAAACUAAAGGUCUCUUGAGGAAGAGGUGAAAGGGUGAUUGGGCUGCUGUUUCAAAGACAUCAAGGUUAAGCUGUAUCAGAACUUUCACUUAAAACGAGGUGUGAAAGGGCUCACUCCUGAAUCAGCGUCACAUCAACAGUGAAAAAGCUGUUAUGGUUCCGGGAACAAUCCAGAGGCAGCUACAUGUACCAGGUCAGCCCCUCACCUGCCCAGCUAACUCCCAUUAGGACCUUGUCAUGGCAAGUAUAUAAAGGUCCCAGCAGGGAGCUAUGGGCCGUGGGAGAUAAAGAAGUAGGAGAAGAUGCAGCAACUGCAGGGAACACUUUGGAGACGCUACUCCUCAUGCCACAAUACCCUAGUGACGCAGAAUAUUUACGAAGAGGAAGACAGGAUACAGAAGUCCCUCAGGUUUCAAUCGCCUGUACCAGUUCCUCCUAAAUCCCCAUCUUGAGGCCACCCGAAUGAUGAAUCAGCUACCCCAGGAUAGAGGUUUACCCUUUAAUUUCCCCUGUCCUCCUCCACGUCCAUUAAUAAAACGCCAUUCCAGAGCUCUACACACUAUUAUGAGUUGAAUGAAAAAAGAUUUUGGGAUCACAACCUCAAAUAUAUAUAUUUUUUUUAUUAAAUAAUCGAACAACGUCCGUUAUAGAAAUUUGGCACAGGUCCAACAGAGGCUAUGACUCAAGAGCAUCUCCUUGGCAUUGUGGAUCUGAACCAAUGCUACUAGGAUAUGGGACCCGAUUUUAUCAAUCAAGCUCAAGCAUAAAUGGGAGUAAACCAUACAUGGAAUCAUUUUACUCUAGGCAACUUUCCAUUUUAAUCUUGAAAUCUUUGAUUGUUAUUAGAUUACCUUACUCCACUUAGCCAAAUGACUCACAUAAAUCCUGAAAGAGAUAGUUGAGGCUAAGGUUUCAAAGACUGUGAACAAUGCUGAAUGUGCAUACAAAAAUAAGAGGUCUCUAGGAAGUAUACAAACUGACAAAAAACUGUUGAUUACUAUUUCUAGUUUGAGUGAUUUCAAUAUUUAAGAAUUCAGUACAAUAUAUUUUCAAUUACUUAAUAAAGUUGUUUCAUAUUAUUGAUCCUCUUUGUAGCACUGUUCAAGCAAGCCAGAAUGUAGCAUUUUAUUUGGCAUGCACUCACCAUUUUACCACCUGUACAUCUCUUUAAAUCUUAUAAAAUGUGAUUGCUUACUCCUUUUGGUGUUGCUGUUGAAUUUCAUAGCAUGACAUUGAAUAUUCCCCACAGGCUUUAAAGGGAUGGUUUUCACCAUACUGUACUACAGUGCUAUUCAAUUCUGAAACAUUUCUGGCUUUAUCCUCUACUAAUAAUAUUGGGACUGAUUCAGAUCUGAGAGGCCAGGUGAAAGCAGUCAACUAACAGGUAGAACCAAAAACUAGAAAUGUUUCGGCCCUCCAGGACCGAAUUUGAAUAGCCUUGCUGUACUGUAUAUGUUUUAUUCAAGGUGUUUCAGUUCAAAGGUUAUGAAUGAGCACUGAGUCUAAGAACAAUUUGAAUUCCUCAAUGAUAAUCUGCUACUGGUGUUUGAAUUAUGCUUUGAGGAUUAUUUGAUAAGUACAUUUUUAUGCUCACAUUCUAAAUUCAAUUGCAUGUAGUGGUCUCCAUGCAAUAUUGAUAAAUGGGGCUUCCAGUGUGAUGGCCAUGUAUUAAUUACAAUUUCGAAGUGCAGGUACGUGCUUGUGUUCGAAAAUACAUGUAAUUGUUUUUCUCUACAUAAACAAUCCAAGGUGUGAC